GGGAUGGCUCUCUGGGUCAGGGAGGAGGGAUAUAUUUGAAAAUUAUGGUAAGGUAAAAAUAAAAGAUAUGAAUGCACAAUUUUAAGAAAAGAAAACCUCUGUAGAAAAGCCUUCAAUCUGAGCAAUAGUCAAUGAUAGUGAUCAUAAUGACAUAUGACCCAUCUUGCAAAGACCCCUGGGAUAAUGUUGUCAGGCACACAGUGUUGCUUCUCAUCAUAUAUAACCCUCAGCUAUUUAAUCCUGCAGGGGUACUAGUGCCUUCCCUUCCAAAAUGACCUUGCAUUGAUUUUGUAUAUUCUUUGGAUGCCCUUGCAGGAGGACAGGGGAGGUGAUGUUCCUGAAGAGUGACACCAUCACUCAUGGAUGUCUCACUCUGCACCCUGAGUCCACCUCCUCUGAGUCAGGAGCUCCCGACAUGGGACCCACACGUGGGACUGGUGUGGACGGAUCCCCUGAUUUCCUCACUGAAGGUUUCCUCCUGAUGAAAUUGCUGUUGGGGCCAAAACCCAAACCCGAACGACCCUAAAGUAUAAGGACAUUAUGGGGCCAUAAAAACAAUAAAUGUGAAAAAUCCAAGGAAAUCCA
RNAcentral lists this long non-coding RNA (585 nucleotides) under Phascolarctos cinereus (koala). Its description in RNAcentral is "lncRNA (ENSPCIG00000000821.2)". Lineage: Eukaryota; Metazoa; Chordata; Mammalia; Diprotodontia; Phascolarctidae. The record is from RNAcentral.